Molecule: unclassified non-coding RNA, 339 nt
Filed under: soil metagenome
Description: partial contains 5.8S ribosomal RNA, internal transcribed spacer 2, and large subunit ribosomal RNA
Rfam family: 5.8S ribosomal RNA (bases 1-120)
Source: RNAcentral
GAUGAAGAACGCAGCGAAAUGCGAUACGUAGUGUGAAUUGCAGAAUUCAGUGAAUCAUCGAAUCUUUGAACGCUCAUUGCACCUCUCGGUAUUCCGGGAGGUAUGCCUGUUCGAGCGUCAUUUGUACCCUCAAGCUCUGCUUGGUGUUGGGUGUUUGUUCCGCCUCUGUGUGUGAACUCGCCUCAAAACAAUUGGCAGCCGGCGUACUUGUUUCGGAGCGCAGCACAUUUUGCGAUCCAGAUCAACGUACAGCGGCAUCCAAGAAGCCUUAUUUAACGCUCUUGACCUCGGAUCAGGUAGGGAUACCCGCUGAACUUAAGCAUAUCAAUAAGCGGAGGA